GACGAACGCUGGCGGCGUGCCUAAUACAUGCAAGUAGAACGCUGAAGGAGGAGCUUACUUCUCUGGAUGAGUUGCGAACGGGUGAGUAACGCGUAGGUAACCUGCCUGGUAGCGGGGGAUAACUAUUGGAAACGAUAGCUAAUACCGCAUAAGAGUAGAUGUUGCAUGACAUUUACUUAAAAGGUGCAAUUGCACCACUACCAGAUGGACCUGCGUUGUAUUAGCUAGUUGGUAGGGUAACGGCUUACCAAGGCGACGAUACAUAGCCGACCUGAGAGGGUGAUCGGCCACACUGGGACUGAGACACGGCCCAGACUCCUACGGGAGGCAGCAGUAGGGAAUCUUCGGCAAUGGACGGAAGUCUGACCGAGCAACGCCGCGUGAGUGAAGAAGGUUUUCGGAUCGUAAAGCUCUGUUGUAAGAGAAGAACGAGUGUGAGAGUGGAAAGUUCACACUGUGACGGUAUCUUGCCAGAAAGGGACGGCUAACUACGUGCCAGCCGCCGCAGUAA
RNAcentral lists this ribosomal RNA (511 nucleotides) under uncultured bacterium. RNAcentral describes it as "partial 16S ribosomal RNA". It matches the Rfam family "Bacterial small subunit ribosomal RNA", at positions 28 to 523 of the family's 1533-position model. The record is from RNAcentral.